Macrobrachium nipponense is the source of this 714-nucleotide long non-coding RNA. RefSeq lists it as uncharacterized. The transcript is spliced from 3 exons. NCBI's taxonomy places the organism in Eukaryota, Metazoa, Arthropoda, Malacostraca, Decapoda, Palaemonidae. The record is from RefSeq and is a predicted model, not a curated record.
ACAUUUAACUACCGUUCCAAGCCUUGGGGGAGGAAAUCCAUAAAGUUAGCAGUUGCCAUUACAAUAAACAAUUCUACAGUUAUUCUGAGUCUUCCUGUUACAAUUGCUCCUCAUUUAAUACAAAAUACAAGGGGUAAAUACAAAAUACAAGGGGUAAAAGAAAUAUAAUUCUGUUAGACAUUUGACCUUAUAAUCGUAUACCCCAAGGAUUCAUUAAAAUUUCACUAACAUCAGCUAACUCUCAUUAGCAUCUGCAUCCAUAUUUGGUGUUAAGAGAUUUCUGACUGUUUGCAGGGUGAAUCGGCCGCAUUACAUUCAUUGCCAUGCAAGAGAUGUUUAUCAGCACCAUACUGAUAGGGAUCAACACCUGCCUGUUCAGACACGAAAGAGAGGUGACCGUUAAGAUUUCCACCAUUCUGUUAAAUAGCUUGUUAGCUUCAGAUAUGUGUAUUCGUAAUGCAGCUCCUGUAGAUUCCAUUCUCGAAGCAGUGUUGACAGUGUCUCCAAAAAGGCAGUACCUGGGCAUCGUUAAUCCUACAACCCCAGCCACACAAGGACCUGACGGACAAUAACGGCUACGUCACCUAAUUUGACCGUAUUCUUACGCAGCUGUUCAGGUGAUGUUUUGAGCGACAGGCAGAAGAAAAUCUAUUCACUGGCCGUUUGAAGUAGUGGGCUAAUUUGCUGGGAUGUUGUCAGUUAAUAAAACCAGUU